Symsagittifera roscoffensis is the source of this 583-nucleotide long non-coding RNA. RefSeq lists it as uncharacterized. The record is from RefSeq and is a predicted model, not a curated record. Lineage: Eukaryota; Metazoa; Xenacoelomorpha; Acoela; Convolutidae. The transcript is spliced from 3 exons.
AACAUUCUUCUUUUUUCGCAGGUCCGAAAUGCUUGCGUUGGAUAUCCAGACGAAAAACUCGGAAACUCAGUUUGCUAUAGAUCGAAAUGUAAAAGUGGACAAACUGUGUUUUCUUACGUCACCGUAGCCGAAAUUGAGACUUACAAACGAAACACUUCUUCACAUAUUGGCUACAAUGAGGAGGUCAUUGAUUUCGAGCCAGUAGAUUGCUCUCCACAGACUAGCGGCGUGUCGAUUCUCACAGAAGAGCCCACUAUACAAAUCAGUACUGAGCCAGACCAAGAAGUUAGAAUCUUAGAGCGAGUGGUAGAUGGAAAACUUGUGCGCAAGUUGAGCUAUAUGGGACAUGGAUUUGGGUUUCAUAUGCCGAGCGACAUGGAUGAAUCAGAAAGCUGUGACUGCGAAGAGUAGUAUUUACUUGAACACAAUGCCUGCGACCAAAGAAUCACAUAAAAGUAGUAGUUUCGAAUUAUGUCACUUGUGCCUGCUGAUACUUGCGAUUUCAUUAAGUUUAAUAAUUCACUUAAGUUAUUAUUGGUCACAGCAGAGUUUCAGAAUUCAGCAGAUUUUCUAUUUUUUUUCC